CCCCGCCCUGGGCCUGGUCGGCGGCGGCGGGCGGUCGAUGGCCGGGCGGCGGCGGCAUGCGGCUCCUGUUCCUGGCCGUGGUGCGGCGGCACACGGGCAACGCCGUCACGGCCGAGCGCGUCCGGGACCACCUGGAGGCUGCAGGCCACGUGUGUAUUCUGAAAGACGCCUCCGACUUGGAAAGCUCGUCCGAAAUCGCCAAGCUCAUCGAGGCCGAGAGCCUGGAGGCAGCACUGGCCCUUCAUCUGUACAGAGGAGGCAGACUUCUGCAAGGUCACGGGAUUCCCUUCGGAAUCAUCUUCGGUGGAACCGAUUUAAAUGAAGAUGUUAACCAUGGAGAGAAGAAGAAAGUGAUGGGGAAAGUCCUGGAAGAAGCCAGAUUUGCCGUCGCCUUCACAGAGUCAAUGAAGGAAAUGGCACAAACACAGUGGAAAGCAAGACAGAUUUCGUGGGCUGUCACCUGUGCAGCUGGCAGGACAGGAAUCGUGACAGGACCAAACUCUGCCUUUAACUGGAACACCUUUCUUCGCCAGUCAGGGAUUAACCAAAGUGCUGAUAAUUUACACAUCUUCCUCCUGGUGUGUGGGCUGAGACAAGUGAAGGACCCUCUCUAUCUGGUGGACGCGUUCUCAGAAUGGCACCGAGAAGAGCCUAACGUUUACAUGGUGAUCGUGGGUCCUGAAGUGGACCCAGUGUUUACAAGGGAAGUGGGAGCCAGAGUAAAGAGGGCUGCGGGCGUGCGGCUGAUCCGAGAGAUGCCCCAGGGGGACCUACACGCAGCGCUCAAGAACUGCUUCGCGGUGGUGAACAGCUCAGUCUCCGAGGGCAUGUCUGCGGCCAUCCUGGAGAUUCCUGACAAAUACUCCGGUGCUCAACCCAAGUUGGGGGAUGAACGUACCACUCGAGUAUGCAAGUGCUGUGGGGCCUGCCUGGGACAGAGGAACACGCUACGGAGCUCACCAUGCACCCUGACGUGUGGCUCACCUUCUUUCUGAACUCUGCCCUGACACGAGGCAGUGGGUGAAACAAGACAAUCUCAAAGGUCUCAUCCGUGUGGAGGAUUCGGCAGUUAGUUGACAAAUGUCUAGAAACGAAAUCACAGUGUGUUGCGUGAGUUUAACGAGCUAGCGACCUGCACUGUGUGACAAGCAGAGAGACAAGCCAUAUGACUCAUAGCUUCAGUCACCAUAAUUAUGUUACGACCUCGUAACUGAUGGAGUUGAUGUGCCAGUCAGCUUAUGCCACAAACCACAUAAUGGUGUUUGCGCAAAACGACAUCUGAAUUUUUCAUGCACUGUGGAGAGGAGAGUUUAGUCCCUUCUUCCCAAAUGAUGCAGCCGAGACCCAGGGAGACGUCCAGGACCUCGACAGUAUACUUGCUCCGUUGGCGGUUCUUGGAUUGAACAAUAGGAACUUUCACAAAUGCCUCAUUGUGGGGUGGGUGGUAUGGGGCAGGAGCCCGGUCAGUUUUCCUCCAGCCCUCCAGGCAACUGGGCUGUACUCCAACGGGGACACCCACUGUGUUCGCCUGGAACAAAGAUAAUAAGACCGGGAUCUUAAUUCAAGACCAAGGCCUCUUGAUCCCCAGCCCGUGCCGUCAUCCAGGAUGCCAGACCGUGCCUGCGAUGUGUCAGAACCCAAGGGGCCCAACCGGGAAUCCAUAAGCACUUGAGACCUAGCGUUGGGACGUGACCAUUUCAGGUUACUUUUCCCUGGUGCCAUCGAGGUGCCUCGUUCCCGAGUGUGAUGACCAUUGAAGAUCCCGGUCUUGGCCCUACAAAAGGAAAAUGGAAAAUCUGACUCGGAGACCUUCUGUGUGCUUGAGACGCCAACAAGAGAGACUGACAAAGACGGACCCAUCACUGCGUUGGGGACACAGCCGGGCGGCUGGGGAGGAGCAGUUCAGCAGGGGCUCUCGUCCACAAGUCAACCUCUACCGCUUUCCCCGGUGGUGGAAGCAAAGUAGCCCCAGAGGAGUGCCGAUAGGAAGGGUGUCUCCAGCUCCUGCAUUCUCUAGGGCCUGGAUCUUGAGCUCAAAGUAGACCUGGAAGGGGUAGGUGACGAAGCGCCAGAAAACAAGGCACGCUCACAGAGACAACAGCGGGUGGUUAAGAUGGCCACGGUGAACAACGCAACUGAGAAUUCACUCUGCAGAUGCUCCUGGGGCAUGGGCCCCACAAUAUUUAUUGAGCGUUUACUAUGUGUGACGCCGGGCUCUGGUGUUCGGUGGGUGUUGCUGGCGUCCCUGCCUUACGAAGGCUCUGGCGUCACAGAAGCGGCUGUGGUUGGGUAGACUUACGUUUCUGCGAAUGGAGUAUCACCCCUUCGUGAGCAAACUUUGAUUCCACAGAAGCGGACGCCGCAGGCAGAGGCAGCGUGCCCACGACGUGCUUUUGUGGAAUGAGAGCCAUAUUAUCGGUCCGCUGUUGGCGCAAGCCAGUCCUGCCCGUGGGCACCAAGCCGCAAAGGGCGUUCCUCGUACCCGCCGGACGGCACCCCCCCGCACGAAAGUCCCAGGUGAUAGUAGCCACCGGAUACUCGCUGUCGGAGGCCGGAAUGGACCCGGAAGAACUGGCCUCUCCCGAUACCCUUGCAGGCCGAGCUCCCCAAAACUGCAGGAAGAGAACCAGAGAGGUGCUUCCUUGCCGGGUGGGCGAGGCCAAGUCUUCCUGCUGUGCUCGCGGGCACCGCCCGAGGUCUCCAUGCCAGCUCCUGCUGGGCUGCAGAUGCCAUGUGCGGGCCCCAUUCCCUGGGGGGGUGGAGAAGCUGCUUGGUGAAUAAUCAGGAUGAUGAAUCACGCCCCUUCUUUCUCGUGUGUGCGUGCCGAGGAGACGUGCGCAGUCCUCCCGUUCUCACUGCUUGUGCUGCGGGCAGAUUACCCGCCGGGGGAGCGCUGAGGGUAAUUAAAGAUGUGUACCGCAGGCUGGCACUGCCCAGGCGUCCAGGGAGCGUUUGGAGAGAGCGCGUGUCUCUGUGACACUGUGGCAACCGUGUCAGACAGAGCCUCACGGCGAUGGAUCUGGAAGUUCCCGUGCUGGCCAGGAACAUUCCCGGGAACGCGGCAGUGGUGAAGCAUGAAGUCACGGGGCUGUUGUUC
Molecule: RNA transcript, 3097 nt
Organism: Lynx canadensis (Canada lynx)
Lineage: Eukaryota; Metazoa; Chordata; Mammalia; Carnivora; Felidae
Gene: GLT1D1
Gene name: glycosyltransferase 1 domain containing 1
Exons: 12
Source: RefSeq, a predicted model, not a curated record